UCAGGCCUAACACAUGCAAGUCGAGCGGCAGCGGGAAAGUAGCUUGCUACUUUUGCCGGCGAGCGGCGGACGGGUGAGUAAUGCCUGGGAAAUUGCCCAGUCGAGGGGGAUAACAGUUGGAAACGACUACUAAUACCGCAUACGCCCUACGGGGGAAAGCAGGGGACCUUCGGGCCUUGCGCGAUUGGAUAUGCCCAGGUGGGAUUAGCUAGUUGGUGAGGUAAUGGCUCACCAAGGCGACGAUCCCUAGCUGGUCUGAGAGGAUGAUCAGCCACACUGGAACUGAGACACGGUCCAGACUCCUACGGGAGGCAGCAGUGGGGAAUAUUGCACAAUGGGGGAAACCCUGAUGCAGCCAGUCCGCGUGUGUGAAGAAGGCCUUCGGGU
This 387-nucleotide ribosomal RNA is filed under the name uncultured bacterium. Its description in RNAcentral is "bacterial SSU rRNA". It matches the Rfam family "Bacterial small subunit ribosomal RNA", at positions 43 to 423 of the family's 1533-position model. The record is from RNAcentral.